This 1553-nucleotide ribosomal RNA is filed under the name Anaerobacillus isosaccharinicus. Its description in RNAcentral is "Anaerobacillus sp. NB2006 Bacterial small subunit ribosomal RNA". It matches the Rfam family "Bacterial small subunit ribosomal RNA". The record is from Rfam by way of RNAcentral. Lineage: Bacteria; Bacillati; Bacillota; Bacilli; Caryophanales; Bacillaceae.
UUUAUGGAGAGUUUGAUCCUGGCUCAGGACGAACGCUGGCGGCGUGCCUAAUACAUGCAAGUCGAGCGGAGAUUUAAAAGCUUGCUUUUAAAUCUUAGCGGCGGACGGGUGAGUAACACGUGGGCAACCUGCCCUGUAGACUGGGAUAACUUCGGGAAACCGAAGCUAAUACCGGAUAAUCUUUAGCAUCACAUGGUGCAAAAGUAAAAGUUGGGUUUUACCUAACACUACAGGAUGGGCCCGCGGCGCAUUAGCUAGUUGGUAAGGUAACGGCUUACCAAGGCGACGAUGCGUAGCCGACCUGAGAGGGUGAUCGGCCACACUGGGACUGAGACACGGCCCAGACUCCUACGGGAGGCAGCAGUAGGGAAUCUUCCGCAAUGGACGAAAGUCUGACGGAGCAACGCCGCGUGAACGAUGAAGGCCUUCGGGUCGUAAAGUUCUGUUGUUAGGGAAGAACAAGUACCGUUCGAAUAGGGCGGUACCUUGACGGUACCUAACCAGAAAGCCACGGCUAACUACGUGCCAGCAGCCGCGGUAAUACGUAGGUGGCAAGCGUUGUCCGGAAUUAUUGGGCGUAAAGCGCGCGCAGGCGGUCUCUUAAGUCUGAUGUGAAAGCCCACGGCUCAACCGUGGAGGGUCAUUGGAAACUGGGAGACUUGAGUGCAGAAGAGGAGAGUGGAAUUCCAUGUGUAGCGGUGAAAUGCGUAGAUAUAUGGAGGAACACCAGUGGCGAAGGCGACUCUCUGGUCUGUAACUGACGCUGAGGCGCGAAAGCGUGGGGAGCAAACAGGAUUAGAUACCCUGGUAGUCCACGCCGUAAACGAUGAGUGCUAGGUGUUAGGGGUUUCGAUGCCCUUAGUGCCGAAGUUAACACAUUAAGCACUCCGCCUGGGGAGUACGACCGCAAGGUUGAAACUCAAAGGAAUUGACGGGGGCCCGCACAAGCAGUGGAGCAUGUGGUUUAAUUCGAAGCAACGCGAAGAACCUUACCAGGUCUUGACAUCCUUUGACAACCCUAGAGAUAGGGCUUUCCCCUUCGGGGGACAAAGUGACAGGUGGUGCAUGGUUGUCGUCAGCUCGUGUCGUGAGAUGUUGGGUUAAGUCCCGCAACGAGCGCAACCCUUGAUCUUAGUUGCCAGCAUUCAGUUGGGCACUCUAAGGUGACUGCCGGUGACAAACCGGAGGAAGGUGGGGAUGACGUCAAAUCAUCAUGCCCCUUAUGACCUGGGCUACACACGUGCUACAAUGGAUGGUACAAAGGGCAGCAAAACCGCGAGGUUGAGCCAAUCCCAUAAAGCCAUUCUCAGUUCGGAUUGUAGGCUGCAACUCGCCUACAUGAAGCCGGAAUUGCUAGUAAUCGCGGAUCAGCAUGCCGCGGUGAAUACGUUCCCGGGCCUUGUACACACCGCCCGUCACACCACGAGAGUUUGUAACACCCGAAGUCGGUGGGGUAACCUUUAUGGAGCCAGCCGCCUAAGGUGGGACAGAUGAUUGGGGUGAAGUCGUAACAAGGUAGCCGUAUCGGAAGGUGCGGCUGGAUCACCUCCUUU